CAGCCGCCGCGGUAAUACGAAGGGUGCAAGCGUUAAUCGGAAUUACUGGGCGUAAAGCGUGCGUAGGCGGUGAGUUAAGUCUGCUGUGAAAUCCCCGGGCUCAACCUGGGAAUGGCAGUGGAUACUGGCUCGCUAGAGUGUGUCAGAGGAUGGUGGAAUUCCCGGUGUAGCGGUGAAAUGCGUAGAGAUCGGGAGGAACAUCAAUGGCGAAGGCGGCCAUCUGGGACAACACUGACGCUGAGGCACGAAAGCGUGGGGAGCAAACAGGAUUAGAUACCCCUGUAGUCCCUGUCUCUUAUAC
Molecule: ribosomal RNA, 301 nt
Filed under: uncultured bacterium
Lineage: Bacteria
Description: partial 16S ribosomal RNA
Rfam family: Bacterial small subunit ribosomal RNA
Source: RNAcentral